Long non-coding RNA from Heterocephalus glaber (naked mole-rat), 393 nucleotides. The record is from Ensembl. NCBI's taxonomy places the organism in Eukaryota, Metazoa, Chordata, Mammalia, Rodentia, Bathyergidae.
GUCAAGGAGGUCUCCCUGCCUUCACUUUCCUCUGAGCUUUUUGUUUCAUCUGACCCUGCAGUUCUGAUGGACACUCCUAUACUACAGGGUCAGAGGGAUUCUGGGAUGGUGAACAUAUCCAUGUCAACAGAGGGAUGCACCCAAGAGCUGCAGGGACAGAAGCUCCUGCACUUGGGGCCCCUCCAGAUCUUGCCCUAUGUAUCUGUUCAUCUGGCUGUUGUUUUGCGUCCUUUAAAAUAUUCUUUGUAAAUCAGCAAAGGAAGUGUUCUAUUGUCCUGGGUCCUAUGAGCCCUGCAGCAAAUUGUAAACCCAAGAAGGGAGUAGUAGGACUCCACUUCCCCACAUCUGGUGUCAGAAAUAAAAUAAUGAGAGUGGUGUAAACACAGAAAGAAA